GCUCAGAUACGCCGGCAGUCCGCACGGCCUCAACAACGACUAUUACAAUCUUUAUGCCCGCAGGUGUCGUCGCUAAGAUACGCCGGCAGUCCGCACGGCCUCAACAACGACUAUUACAAUCUGUAUGAAGGCACGUACUUCCGCGGCGAAGAGUUCAGAGGCGACGAGGACGCCGCGCAGUUGGGCGACUUGGAUCUUGCCGUCUCGUCCCUGAUAGUGACUGGCCAGGCCGCGUGGACUUUCUAUACAGGCCUUGACUUCACUGGCGCCACCGUCUGCGUGUACGCCGAUGAAACAAACACCAACAGUGGCAUUGACCUCGACUUCGCACGCAUCGAAAAUCUGAGCGAGCUCGGCCUGCCCGACAACUCCGUCAGGUCC
Molecule: long non-coding RNA, 381 nt
Organism: Hyalella azteca
Lineage: Eukaryota; Metazoa; Arthropoda; Malacostraca; Amphipoda; Hyalellidae
Exons: 3
Source: RefSeq, a predicted model, not a curated record